RNAcentral lists this ribosomal RNA (630 nucleotides) under Bacillus sp. Ma10. Its description in RNAcentral is "bacterial SSU rRNA". It matches the Rfam family "Bacterial small subunit ribosomal RNA", at positions 62 to 676 of the family's 1533-position model. The record is from RNAcentral. Lineage: Bacteria; Bacillati; Bacillota; Bacilli; Caryophanales; Bacillaceae.
UCGAGCGAUCAAUAGGAGCUUGCUNCUGUUGGUUAGCGGCGGACGGGUGAGUAACACGUGGGCAACCUGCCUGUAAGACUGGGAUAACACCGGGAAACCGGUGCUAAUACCGGAUAAUNCUUUNCCUCUCAUGAGGGNAAGUUGAAAGUCGGUUUCGGCUGACACUUACAGAUGGGCCCGCGGCGCAUUAGCUAGUUGGUGAGGUAANGGCUCACCAAGGCGACGAUGCGUAGCCGACCUGAGAGGGUGAUCGGCCACACUGGGACUGAGACACGGCCCAGACUCCUACGGGAGGCAGCAGUAGGGAAUCUUCCACAAUGGACGAAAGUCUGAUGGAGCAACGCCGCGUGAGCGAUGAAGGCCUUCGGGUCGUAAAGCUCUGUUGUUAGGGAAGAACAAGUANCGGAGUAACUGCCGGUACCUUGACGGUACCUAACCAGAAAGCCACGGCUAACUACGUGCCAGCAGCCGCGGUAAUACGUAGGUGGCAAGCGUUGUCCGGAAUUAUUGGGCGUAAAGCGCGCGCAGGCGGUCCUUUAAGUCUGAUGUGAAAGCCCACGGCUCAACCGUGGAGGGUCAUUGGAAACUGGGGGACUUGAGUGCAGAAGAGGAAAGCGGANUUCCACGUGU